Molecule: ribosomal RNA, 253 nt
Filed under: uncultured bacterium
Lineage: Bacteria
Description: partial 16S ribosomal RNA
Rfam family: Bacterial small subunit ribosomal RNA
Source: RNAcentral
UACGGGGGGGGCAAGCGUUGUUCGGAAUUACUGGGCGUAAAGGGCUCGUAGGUGGCCAACUAAGUCAGACGUGAAAUCCCUCGGCUUAACCGGGGAACUGCGUCUGAUACUGGAUGGCUUGAGUUUGGGAGAGGGAUGCGGAAUUCCAGGUGUAGCGGUGAAAUGCGUAGUUAUCUGGAGGAACACCGGUGGCGAAGGCGGCAUCCUGGACCAACACUGACACUGAGGAGCGAAAGCCAGGGGAGCAAACGGG